RNAcentral lists this ribosomal RNA (19 nucleotides) under Dissocarpus paradoxus. Its description in RNAcentral is "partial 18S ribosomal RNA". Lineage: Eukaryota; Viridiplantae; Streptophyta; Magnoliopsida; Caryophyllales; Amaranthaceae. The record is from RNAcentral.
GAACCUGCGAGGAUCAUUG